AUUGAACGCUGGCGGAAUGCUUUACACAUGCAAGUCGAACGGCAGCACGGGGCAACCUGGUGGCGAGUGGCGAACGGGUGAGUAAUACAUCGGAACGUGCCCAAUCGUGGGGGAUAACGUAGCGAAAGUUACGCUAAUACCGCAUACGAUCUACGGAUGAAAGCGGGGGAUCGCAAGACCUCGCGCGAGUGGAGCGGCCGAUGUCAGAUUAGGUAGUUGGUGGGGUAAAGGCUCACCAAGCCAACGAUCUGUAGCUGGUCUGAGAGGACGACCAGCCACACUGGAACUGAGACACGGUCCAGACUCCUACGGGAGGCAGCAGUGGGGAAUUUUGGACAAUGGGCGCAAGCCUGAUCCAGCCAUGCCGCGUGAGUGAAGAAGGCCCUCGGGUUGUAAAGCUCUUUUGUUGGGGAAGAAAAGCAGUUGGUUAAUACCCGAUUGUUCUGACGGUACCCAAAGAAUAAGCACCGGCUAACUUCGUGCCAGCAGCCGCGGUAAGCUACG
This 504-nucleotide ribosomal RNA is filed under the name uncultured bacterium. Its description in RNAcentral is "bacterial SSU rRNA". It matches the Rfam family "Bacterial small subunit ribosomal RNA", at positions 30 to 527 of the family's 1533-position model. The record is from RNAcentral.